RNAcentral lists this ribosomal RNA (506 nucleotides) under uncultured bacterium. RNAcentral describes it as "bacterial SSU rRNA". It matches the Rfam family "Bacterial small subunit ribosomal RNA", at positions 482 to 987 of the family's 1533-position model. The record is from RNAcentral.
CAGAAUAAGCACCGGCUAACUCUGUGCCAGCAGCCGCGGUAAUACAGAGGGUGCGUAGCGUUAAUCGGAUUUACUGGGCGUAAAGCGCGCGUAGGUGGCCAAUUAAGUCAAAUGUGAAAUCCCCGAGCUUAACUUGGGAAUUGCAUUCGAUACUGGUUGGCUAGAGUAUGGGAGAGGAUGGUAGAAUUCCAGGUGUAGCGGUGAAAUGCGUAGAGAUCUGGAGGAAUACCGAUGGCGAAGGCAGCCAUCUGGCCUAAUACUGACACUGAGGUGCGAAAGCAUGGGGAGCAAACAGGAUUAGAUACCCUGGUAGUCCAUGCCGUAAACGAUGUCUACUAGCCGUUGGGGCCUUUGAGGCUUUAGUGGCGCAGUAACGCGAUAAGUAGACCGCCUGGGGAGUACGGUCGCAAGACUAAAACUCAAAUGAAUUGACGGGGGCCCGCACAAGCGGUGGAGCAUGUGGUUUAAUUCGAUGCAACGCGAAGAACCUUACCUGGUCUUGACAU